AUGAACUUCCAGGAUGUCGAAAUGCACCAGCAGGCGCAGGACGUCGCCCCUCCGCCUCGUCUUAUCACGGAUCAGAACCGUGCGAAGCACGCUCGGCGGCAGCGCCGCCUCCUCCUCGUCGAGGAGGACGAGCUGGCCAUGGCGGAGUGGCGCCGGCGCCACCCGGAGGACGUCGCCAACGAGGAAGCCUUCUGGGCAAGGCGCCGCGAGGAGACGGCAAAGCGCCGCGAGGAGCGGUUGGACAUGCGUAGGCGGAAGGCCCUAGCGUUAUCGCAGUGCGAAAUCGUUGAAAAUGGUGGGCAGUCGAUCUUUUCGUCAGAUGAUGAUCGUUGGGAAGACAUGUGGCUCAAUACCUCGGACCAGACCAGCAAGGAUGGCGAUGAUGAUGAUGAUGACGACUGGGAGUAG
This 408-nucleotide ribosomal RNA is filed under the name Triticum aestivum (bread wheat). RNAcentral describes it as "partial small subunit ribosomal RNA". The record is from RNAcentral. Lineage: Eukaryota; Viridiplantae; Streptophyta; Magnoliopsida; Poales; Poaceae.